ACGACGGUGAUGAAACGGUCAUCAUGGUGGACUUUGCACUUAUUUGUCCCGGGUUCGAAUCCGGUGCCGUCGCU
RNAcentral lists this transfer RNA (74 nucleotides) under Fasciola hepatica (liver fluke). RNAcentral's name for it is "tRNA-Gln". The record is from RNAcentral. Lineage: Eukaryota; Metazoa; Platyhelminthes; Trematoda; Plagiorchiida; Fasciolidae.